CGGUUCUCGUUAGAUCACCGAAGUCAAGCAUCAUUGGGCGCGGUCAGUACUUGGGUGGGUGACCACCUGGGAACACUGCGUGCCGUU
Caerostris darwini is the source of this 87-nucleotide non-coding RNA. The record is from the annotation of a GenBank genome assembly. NCBI's taxonomy places the organism in Eukaryota, Metazoa, Arthropoda, Arachnida, Araneae, Araneidae.